AGGCUGCAACUCGCCUGCAUGAAGUCGGAAUUGCUAGUAAUCGCGGAUCAGCAUGCCGCGGUGAAUACGUUCCCGGGCCUUGUACACACCGCCCGUCACACCAUGAGAGCCGGUAACACCCGAAGUCAAUAGUCUAACCGCAAGGAGGACAUUGCCGAAGGUGGGAUUGGUAAUUGGGGUGAAGUCGUAACAAGGUAUC
RNAcentral lists this ribosomal RNA (199 nucleotides) under uncultured bacterium. RNAcentral's name for it is "partial 16S ribosomal RNA". It matches the Rfam family "Bacterial small subunit ribosomal RNA", at positions 1302 to 1500 of the family's 1533-position model. The record is from RNAcentral.